This 496-nucleotide ribosomal RNA is filed under the name uncultured bacterium. Its description in RNAcentral is "partial 16S ribosomal RNA". It matches the Rfam family "Bacterial small subunit ribosomal RNA", at positions 28 to 507 of the family's 1533-position model. The record is from RNAcentral.
GAUGAACGCUGGCGGCGUGCCUAAUACAUGCAAGUCGAGCGAACAGACGAGGAGCUUGCUCCUCUGACGUUAGCGGCGGACGGGUGAGUAACACGUGGAUAACCUACCUAUAAGACUGGGAUAACUUCGGGAAACCGGAGCUAAUACCGGAUAAUAUAUUGAACCGCAUGGUUCAAUAGUGAAAGACGGUUUUGCUGUCACUUAUAGAUGGAUCCGCGCCGCAUUAGCUAGUUGGAAGGUAACGGCUUACCAAGGCAACGAUGCGUAGCCGACCUGAGAGGGUGAUCGGCCACACUGGAACUGAGACACGGUCCAGACUCCUACGGGAGGCAGCAGUAGGGAAUCUUCCGCAAAGGGCGAAAGCCUGACGGAGCAACGCCGCGUGAGUGAUGAAGGUCUUCGGAUCGUAAAACUCUGUUAUUAGGGAAGAACAAAUGUGUAAGUAACUAUGCACGUCUUGACGGUACCUAAUCAGAAAGCCACGGCUAACUACGUG